GGCAGACCAAGGGGAAAGCCCUUUUCUGUUUCCAUCAAGACACACCUGGCAAUGGAUGUGACAUUCAGCACUGCCCAGGUUUCUUCCACUUGGAGGAGGCAAACUGGUGAAUGGAAGGAGGCAAUCCUCUGGCAGUGGGAUGCUAGGGGGAGAUAAUAAGGCAAGUUUGCUUGCUUGAAGGCUGCUGGUAUCUGUGAGUAGAAGCUGGCAGACGUCUCAUGAUGGACCUAACAGUUGCUUCUGGCACAAUGGGACACCGUGACGGGAACCAGAGCGCACGGAAAUGCCGUUUCCCUUCCUGAUGCAGAGGUACCUAUUUAUCUACUUGCACUGGCAUGCUUUCAAACUGCUAGGUUGGCAGGAGCUAGGACAGAGCAACAGGAGCUCACCCGUUGCAGGGAUUCAAACCGCCAACCUUCUGAUCAGCAAGCCCAAGAGGCUCAGUUGUUUAGACCACAGCGCCACCCAUGUCCCUAUGUAUCUGUGUAUCUCUAUAUCUAUCUAUCUACCUAAAUGUAAGAAUCAAUGGAUGGAUGGAUGGAUGGAUGGAUGUAGAUAUAUUUAUGUGUUCUCUUUGCUUUCAACAGAUUUAGGCUGAAAAGGAGCAUGUGCACUGAAAGUUAACAGCUGAGCAAACUUUUUAAAAAAUGAUGAAUUACUCCACAUUUACCGAUAGCGAGGUCAUCGGAAGGCACUUCCUCUUUAACUGCCAAAUGACACAUUGCUGUUCUGAAUGCUCGUGUAUCCCAUGUGACCCACUUGGCGUAACCAAAAUGAAGGAGAGCAGCUGGAGAGAGCCGAAGGAAGGGAGGAUGUGGUUACUACUCGGAGGAAGAGAAAGCAAACAUUAAAAAA
Molecule: non-coding RNA, 855 nt
Organism: Podarcis lilfordi (Lilford's wall lizard)
Lineage: Eukaryota; Metazoa; Chordata; Lepidosauria; Squamata; Lacertidae
Source: the annotation of a GenBank genome assembly